RNAcentral lists this ribosomal RNA (757 nucleotides) under Urticina felina. RNAcentral's name for it is "partial 12S ribosomal RNA". It matches the Rfam family "Bacterial small subunit ribosomal RNA", at positions 364 to 1428 of the family's 1533-position model. Lineage: Eukaryota; Metazoa; Cnidaria; Anthozoa; Actiniaria; Actiniidae. The record is from RNAcentral.
UUGUGCAAUAAACGAAAGUAUGACACAGAGAGGACACAUUUAAUUGAGCCCGUCAAAUUAAGUGCCAGCCGACGCGGUUAAACUUAAGGGCUGGUCUUUAUAAGUAAAAAGGCGUAAAGGAUGUGUAGGCCAAGAAACGACCCAAGAAGGUAAAUGGAAUUUUUCUGGAGCGGUAGAAUGUGAGGAUAGAAAAUAGAACCCCUAAGGUUAAAACUAUUUACCACAAGGUAGGCUGAAACAUGAGUGUGUGGGGAGCAAACAGGAUUAGAGACCCUGGUAGUCCACACUGUGAACUUUGAAGAUGAUGCUUAGCAGACCCGAAAGGUAAAAUCUUCCGCCUGAGUAGUACGAUCGCAAGAUUAAAAUUCAAAAACUUUGGCUGUUCACUAUUUCGAUUAGAGGAGCGUGUAGUUUAAUUCGAUGGUCCGCGUGUUACCUUACCCCAACUUGAAUCUGUGACCGGUAUUGCAUGGCCGUCGUAAGUUCGUGUAUUAAGCUAGAAGGGACCCAACCCGGGCAUUUGCCCGGAGGAAGUCAGGUCUUAUGAUCCGAAUGUUGGGGGAUUUUAUGCGCUACAUUUUCUUAUAUAAUGGGAGACCUGGAAGGUGAGCCUCUAAAGUAAGAGUUCGGAAGGUCGCUGUAAGACGACUGGAAGUUGGAUUUAAUAGUAAUCGGAAAGUAGGGCGUUCCGGUGAAUUGGUACAAGUGUUAGCACAAAUUGCCCGUCGCCUUUACCUAGAAUGGUUAUUCGGACGCC